CCUAGUACUUCAACAUCAUCAAAUUCAAGUGGUCUUUCCAUAUUCAUAACUGAUUUCUGCUCGCUUUUUUUUUAGCAAUGUAUUCCUGCAUUUGGUUUCUUACAUCUUCUGCAUUUAAUUUCUUACAUCUUCUGGAUAUUUUGGACACCGGACUACAUUUUUGUAGCCUCUAGCAAGAUGUUGAUUGAUUCUAUUACCUUCCCCUUUAUAAACUUUCAUGCAUUACAUACAUUGAAGGUCAUUGGUAUUAUUUUUACUAACUUGAAUUACACAUGCCCAUCCUGGGUCCGUCCUUCUAUUGCUAGUAAAAGAUCCAGUUGUAUUACCCUUAUCACCCAUCUAUGAUCUAGCA
RNAcentral lists this unclassified non-coding RNA (352 nucleotides) under Hevea brasiliensis (rubber tree). Lineage: Eukaryota; Viridiplantae; Streptophyta; Magnoliopsida; Malpighiales; Euphorbiaceae. The record is from RNAcentral.